Long non-coding RNA from Larimichthys crocea (large yellow croaker), 423 nucleotides. RefSeq lists it as uncharacterized. The transcript has 2 exons. The record is from RefSeq and is a predicted model, not a curated record. Lineage: Eukaryota; Metazoa; Chordata; Actinopteri; Sciaenidae.
CUUCCAGAGGAAACAGGAGGAGGAAACGGAUUGAGCACAAAGGGCAGAAACAGAGGAGACCGAUCGCAGUAACCACACCGGAGCUCUCGUUGGACGGAGAAGCCAGGGACUGAUUGUUAGAAGGCCCCAUGAAGUGAUACUCUGCCCUUCUGCCUCGAGGUCAGUGCCCUGGAGAAGAUGACAGUGCAGUGCAACAGCGCCAAGAGGCUGCAGGACCGAGCAUGACUGCGACAGAGCCACUUCCACCGAUGCCCCGAGUGUGUGCUGCAGCCCCUGCCUUUGCAGAUAAGACUCUAGACUGUUUUACUGGACUUCCUUGCCACUCAGUUUUUAGCUAUCCUCAUUUUACCACUUUUAGUCUUUCACCCGUGUUUUUAACCUGAUUUUAUUCUGUGAAUAAACAUCAGUGUUUCUGCUCAAGGA